AUACGGAGGGGGCUAGCGUUGUUCGGAAUCACUGGGCGUAAAGCGCGCGUAGGCGGAUUGGUCAGUUGGGGGUGAAAUCCCGAGGCUCAACCUCGGAACUGCCUCCAAAACUGCCAGUCUCGAGUCCGGGAGAGGUGAGUGGAAUUCCGAGUGUAGAGGUGAAAUUCGUAGAUAUUCGGAGGAACACCAGUGGCGAAGGCGACUCACUGGCCCGGUACUGACGCUGAGGUGCGAAAGCGUGGGGAGCAAACAGGAUUAGAAACCCCGUAGUCC
Molecule: ribosomal RNA, 273 nt
Filed under: uncultured bacterium
Lineage: Bacteria
Description: partial 16S ribosomal RNA
Rfam family: Bacterial small subunit ribosomal RNA
Source: RNAcentral